AUACGGAGGGUCCGAGCGUUAUCCGGAAUCAUUGGGUUUCAAGGGUCCGCAGGCGGUCAAUUAAGUCAGAGGUGAAAGCCCAUCGCUCAACGAUGGAACUGCCUUUGAUACUGGUUGACUUGAGUUAUACGGAAGUAGAUAGAAUAAGUAGUGUAGCGGUGAAAUGCAUAGAUAUUACUUAGAAUACCGAUUGCGAAGGCAGUCUACUACGUAUAUACUGACGCUGAGGGACGAAAGCGUGGGGAGCGAACAGGAUUAGAAACCCCAGUAGUCC
This 274-nucleotide ribosomal RNA is filed under the name uncultured bacterium. RNAcentral describes it as "partial 16S ribosomal RNA". It matches the Rfam family "Bacterial small subunit ribosomal RNA", at positions 523 to 796 of the family's 1533-position model. The record is from RNAcentral.